UGCAGUCGACGGUGAACACGGAGCUUGCUCUGUGGGAUCAGUGGCGAACGGGUGAGUAACACGUGAGCAACCUGCCCCUGACUCUGGGAUAAGCGCUGGAAACGGCGUCUAAUACUGGAUACGAGUAGCGACCGCAUGGUCAGUUACUGGAAAGAUUUAUUGGUUGGGGAUGGGCUCGCGGCCUAUCAGCUUGUUGGUGAGGUAAUGGCUCACCAAGGCGUCGACGGGUAGCCGGCCUGAGAGGGUGACCGGCCACACUGGGACUGAGACACGGCCCAGACUCCUACGGGAGGCAGCAGUGGGGAAUAUUGCACAAUGGGCGCAAGCCUGAUGCAGCAACGCCGCGUGAGGGAUGACGGCCUUCGGGUUGUAAACCUCUUUUAGCAGGGAAGAAGCGAAAGUGACGGUACCUGCAGAAAAAGCGCCGGCUAACUACGUGCCAGCAGCCGCGGUAAUACGUAGGGCGCAAGCGUUAUCCGGAAUUAUUGGGCGUAAAGAGCUCGUAGGCGGUUUGUCGCGUCUGCUGUGAAAUCCGGAGGCUCAACCUCCGGCCUGCAGUGGGUACGGGCAGACUAGAGUGCGGUAGGGGAGAUUGGAAUUCCUGGUGUAGCGGUGGAAUGCGCAGAUAUCAGGAGGAACACCGAUGGCGAAGGCAGAUCUCUGGGCCGUAACUGACGCUGAGGAGCGAAAGGGUGGGGAGCAAACAGGCUUAGAUACCCUGGUAGUCCACCCCGUAAACGUUGGGAACUAGUUGUGGGGUCCAUUCCACGGAUUCCGUGACGCAGCUAACGCAUUAAGUUCCCCGCCUGGGGAGUACGGCCGCAAGGCUAAAACUCAAAGGAAUUGACGGGGACCCGCACAAGCGGCGGAGCAUGCGGAUUAAUUCGAUGCAACGCGAAGAACCUUACCAAGGCUUGACAUAUACGAGAACGGGCCAGAAAUGGUCAACUCUUUGGACACUCGUAAACAGGUGGUGCAUGGUUGUCGUCAGCUCGUGUCGUGAGAUGUUGGGUUAAGUCCCGCAACGA
Molecule: ribosomal RNA, 1028 nt
Filed under: Microbacterium sp.
Lineage: Bacteria; Bacillati; Actinomycetota; Actinomycetes; Micrococcales; Microbacteriaceae
Description: bacterial SSU rRNA
Rfam family: Bacterial small subunit ribosomal RNA
Source: RNAcentral